UAAGCUUAACAGUUUACCAACUAUUAAACUAUAGAAUGGCACUGAAUGAUUAAAUUCACCUGUAAGAUAAAAAUAACUUUUCUGGGGCUGGCCCUGUGGCAUAGCGG
This is a non-coding RNA of Ceratotherium simum simum (southern white rhinoceros), 107 nucleotides long. The record is from RefSeq and is a predicted model, not a curated record. NCBI's taxonomy places the organism in Eukaryota, Metazoa, Chordata, Mammalia, Perissodactyla, Rhinocerotidae.